AGCGGUGAAAUUCCAAUCGAGCCCGGAGAUAGCUGGUUCUCCCCGAAAUAGCUUUAGGGCUAGCCGCAAGGUGAGAGAUACGGAGGUAGAGCACUGAAUGUCCUAGGGGGUAUUGCACCUACCGAAGACUAUCAAACUCCGAAUGCCGUCAUCUUAUACUUGGGAGUCAGACUGUGGGUGAUAAGAUUCAUAGUCGAAAGGGCAACAGCCCAGAUCGUCAGCUAAGGUCCCUAAAUGUAAGUUAAGUGGUAAAGGAUGUGGGAUUGCACAGACAACCAGGAUGUUGGCUUAGAAGCAGCCACUCAUUCAAAGAGUGCGUAAUAGCUCACUGGUCGAGUGAUCCUGCGCCGAAGAUUUCCGGGGCUAAAACUUACUACCGAAGCUACGGCAUCAGUAAUGAUGGGUAGGGGAGCUUCCCAUACGGGU
RNAcentral lists this ribosomal RNA (426 nucleotides) under Clostridioides difficile. RNAcentral describes it as "bacterial LSU rRNA". It matches the Rfam family "Bacterial large subunit ribosomal RNA", at positions 817 to 1250 of the family's 2925-position model. Lineage: Bacteria; Bacillati; Bacillota; Clostridia; Peptostreptococcales; Peptostreptococcaceae. The record is from RNAcentral.